Molecule: long non-coding RNA, 281 nt
Filed under: Sus scrofa (pig)
Lineage: Eukaryota; Metazoa; Chordata; Mammalia; Artiodactyla; Suidae
Description: lncRNA (ENSSSCG00070005190.1)
Source: RNAcentral
AUUUGUCAACACUUUUUGGAUGAAAGAAGAAACACAAAAUGCCUUGCUCAACACGAUGGUGAAAGGCAAAUUGGAGUGUGGACUUUGCAGCUAAUUACCCUUAUCCUGAUCCCAGAAAGUUGACUGCUUUCUCAAUAACUUGCAGCUGAUUCCCAACCAGGCCCUGUUCUAAGUCCUAAAGAUAGAAAGGAACACUGAAAAAAAUCUACUCUAGUGGAACUUGCAUUCAAGUAUGGAAGGCUGGCAAUAAAUAAACAAAUAAACAAGGGUUUUAUGAAGCU